UCCGGUAACUAUAGCGAAGAGGUUACACCUGUUCCCAUCUCGAACACAGAAGUUAAGCUCUUUUGCGCCGAUGAUACUUGGUGGGAAGCUACCUGGGAAAGCAGGACGUUGCCAGAU
Molecule: ribosomal RNA, 117 nt
Filed under: Clostridia bacterium
Lineage: Bacteria; Bacillati; Bacillota; Clostridia
Source: RNAcentral